Molecule: long non-coding RNA, 1745 nt
Organism: Corvus hawaiiensis (hawaiian crow)
Lineage: Eukaryota; Metazoa; Chordata; Aves; Passeriformes; Corvidae
Exons: 2
Source: RefSeq, a predicted model, not a curated record
UUUACAUUCCUUUCAUUUUGCCACUCCGAACGCUUAUGCAGCUGCAUCUGGGCUGGAAAAGUCACUUUUUUACUGGUGUAGCUACUCAGGAGAUCUCUGAUAACUCUGUUACCCAAGAACAGGGAAGGAUGUGUGAUGUCCAAGGCCCUGUGCCAGCAAAUCCCAGUUUUUGUGGUGUUUGUUCUCCCCCAGCACAGUUUGAUGAGAUUUGUCCAAAACAGCUUUCCUGGGGAAGCCCUUGGUCGUGUGGUCAUUAAGGGAGAAAUGGAAACAAUGCUGAGCAUGCGCGGUGUUGUGGGAAGGGAAGCGCAGGAGCAGUGCUAUGCCUGGUUACGUCAUGUGGCGUUAAAGGGCGGGGCGGAGCCGGGCAGCGCUGCGCAUGCGCACUGGCUUUACCCGCCCGGUGCUGUUGCUCCGUGGGUACCGUCCGGCGCUGCCCGGGAGCGGCUUGGAAGCACCGGGUUCGGUUCCCGGCUGCAGCAGCGGCGGGCGAGGGUUGUGGUGACAAUGGAGAUGGGCGGCUGUUGCUGUGGCUGCAGCGAGGUGGAAACCCAGGGCUGAGCUGGAGAACGGGUGGAGACAGUGGCAAGCGGGAGUCCCAUGUUUACAUCUGCCCUUGGAUUCCACUUUCUUCCAGUGGGUCUGUGCUGCCCGAAGUACAAAGGAAGGAGGUGUUGGAGUACCUGUUUGUUCACCUGUUGAGCUUGGAAGAGAUGCUGAGUGUGAAAUUGCAGGGGUGCCGGCUCCUUGCGAGCUGUUGGUUGCUGAGGAGAUUGGGUAGGGGAAAGGGGGGGAGAGUCCGAGCACAGCACAGUGAUAGGAGCUGGGUUUGCAUCUCAAUCUAAGGCAUCUCAAAGCCUGAUAAGCUGGAAAGAAGACUUUGCUGUGUUAAUGCACAAUUACAUUUUUGUGCAAUUUUUUGAAAUUAGGGCUGGGAUCAAUCUGGGGAGGUUAUCUGGCCCAAUUCCCUGUGCCCUGCUUUGCCAUGAGGAAUGGAUGCCUGACCUCUUUGCAGAGAGCUGCUGCUGCUAAAGAUUUCUCAGUUUCUAUAGUGAAUUUAUCCCAGUACUUUGCUGCUAUAAAGAAGUCUCCUCUUGCUGCCAUUUCCCCUUAUUACAUUUAAGAUUAGCUCCAGCUGAGUUAGAAUUUAAUCCCAACCUUUUCCCCUUUUUUUUUUUUCCCAAGAGGCCUCAGCUAUCUCGCUAUUUCUUUCCUCUCUCACCCUCCAGGUCCUGUUUUUCAGACCUCGUUCUUUCCUUAUAAAACCCUUGAUAACCCAUUCCCCACUUAAGGCUUUGUUGUAUCCUUGUUUUGCUACCUUCUGGGUGCUGUGGAUGAAGGUCUGGCUUUGAGGAGCACACCCUGCUCCCUUUGCUCAAGGGAUUGCAGUUAUUCCAAUCUCCUGCUGCUGAGGGCUUCCUUAGGCUCUUGCUGAAAUGAAAAAUAUCCAGGAAGUUUUUCCUUUUUUGAGAUUAGACUGGUUUCUGCAGGUCCUUGAGAUGUGACCAUGAUGGAUAAAAACCCACAGUGCAAAUGAAGGUUUCUCCCGUCUUCCCCCCUGCCCCCCACCUGCUCCAUGCACAGUUCAUUACUUUGUAAUCACAACUACUAAGGAAACCUUUCUAAUCUUGUCAAUUGGCAAUGCAACUGCUUUUAAAUUCUGGUUUAAAAUAGGUUUUGAAGUCAGGCUCUGCCCUUGCUAUUGAUUUGAAUUCUUGACUGAGUAAAUUAUUGGUGCUUAACAA